Molecule: non-coding RNA, 796 nt
Filed under: Tachyta nana
Lineage: Eukaryota; Metazoa; Arthropoda; Insecta; Coleoptera; Carabidae
Source: RNAcentral
GUAAAGUUUAAUUUUAGCUUAAAAAUUAAUUUAAAAAUUUUUUUAUAUGUAAAUUUUUGUAAGAAUUAUAAUUAAUAAUUUAAAAAAUUAUAUUAGUUUAAUUAAUUCGCAGUAUUUAAUAUUAUUUAUUUAAGAAAUUAAGAAUUAGAAUUUUUUUUAUAUAUUAACAAAUUUUGUGCCAGCAGUUGCGGUUAUACAAAAAAUAUAAAUUAAUUUUUUUUAUAAGUAAUUAAAUAAUAAUAAAUAAAAUAUUUAAAUUAUAUUUAUUAGGUGAAAUUUUUAAAUAUAAUAAUUAUUUUUAAUAAUUUUUUUUAUAUUAUGAAAUUUUUGUAUUAAACUAGGAUUAGAUACCCUAUUAUUUUAAAUGUAAAAAAUUAUUAUAAAUUAGUAUUAGAUAUGAUCUUGAAAAUUAAAAAAUUUGGCGGUAUUAUAGUCUAUUUAGAGGAACCUGUUCUAUUAUCGAUAGUCCACGAUAAAAUUUACUUUUUUUAAAAAAAUUUGUAUAUCGUUGUUAUGAAAAAAUUUUAGAAGAAAUAAUUUUUAGAGUUUUUAAUAAAAAAAUAUAUCAAAUCAAGGUGCAGUUGAUAAAAAAGAAGAAAUGGGUUACAAUAAAAUAAUUUAUUUUGGAUAAAAAAUUGAAAUAUUUUUUUGAAAUUGGAUUUAAUAGUAAUAAAAUUAAAUUAAAUUUUAUGAUUAUAGCUCUAUAAUAUGUACAUAUUGCCCGUCGCUCUUAUUGAAUUUAAAGUAAGAUAAGUCGUAACAUAGUAGAUUUACUGGAAAGUGAAUCUAGAAUGAC